CAGUAGCCGCGGUAAGACAGAGGGUGCAAACGUUGUUCGGAAUUACUGGGCGUAAAGCGAGUGUAGGCGGUUCUGUAAGUCGGAUGUGAAAGCCCCGGGCUCAACCCGGGAAGUGCACUCGAUACUGCAGAGCUAGAGUACUGGAGAGGUGGGUGGAAUUCUCGGUGUAGAGGUGAAAUUCGUAGAUAUCGAGAGGAACACCGGCGGCGAAGGCGACCCACUGGACAGGUACUGACGCUGAGACUCGAAAGCGUGGGGAGCAAACAGGAUUAGAUACCCGCGUAGUCCCUGUCUCUUAUAC
Molecule: ribosomal RNA, 301 nt
Filed under: uncultured bacterium
Lineage: Bacteria
Description: partial 16S ribosomal RNA
Rfam family: Bacterial small subunit ribosomal RNA
Source: RNAcentral